This 519-nucleotide ribosomal RNA is filed under the name uncultured eukaryote. RNAcentral's name for it is "SSU rRNA". It matches the Rfam family "Eukaryotic small subunit ribosomal RNA", at positions 1161 to 1704 of the family's 1831-position model. The record is from RNAcentral.
AGGGCACCACCAGGAGUGGAGCCUGCGGCUUAAUUUGACUCAACACGGGAAAUCUCACCAGGCCCGGACACCGGAAGGAUUGACAGAUUGAAAGCUCUUUCUUGAUUCGGUGGGUGGUGGUGCAUGGCCGUUCUUAGUUGGUGGAGCGAUUUGUCUGGUUAAUUCCGAUAACGAACGAGACUCUGGCCUACUAAAUAGACAUUGGAUCAUUUAUGGUUCAUUGCAGCUUCUUAGAGGGACGGGCGGCUUAUAGCCGCACGAGAAUGAGCAAUAACAGGUCUGUGAUGCCCUUAGAUGUUCUGGGCUGCACGCGCGCUACACUGAAGGAAUCAGCGUGUGUACCCUGUCCGAAAGGACUGGGAAACCCGUUGAACCUCCUUCGUGAUGGGGAUUGGGGAUUGCAAUUAUUCCCCAUGAACGAGGAAUUCCCAGUAGGCGCGAGUCAUAAGCUUGCGUCGAUUACGUCCCUGCCCUUUGUACACACCGCCCGUCGCUACUACCGAUCGAGUGUUUUAGUGA